Transfer RNA from Rhizoctonia solani, 81 nucleotides. It matches the Rfam family "tRNA". Rfam says of the family: Transfer RNA (tRNA) molecules are approximately 80 nucleotides in length. Their secondary structure includes four short double-helical elements and three loops (D, anti-codon, and T loops). NCBI's taxonomy places the organism in Eukaryota, Fungi, Basidiomycota, Agaricomycetes, Cantharellales, Ceratobasidiaceae. The record is from Rfam.
GGCCGCCUGGCGAAAUGGUAUCGCGUCUGACUACGACUUGUAUCAAUCAGGAGAUUGCAGGUUCGAGCCCUGCGGUGGUCA